UCCCUAUGCAGAUGGAAACAAAUCUUUUAGAACUGAUCAUGUGACACAACCCUGUGCAUUCAGGAAAGAUUCAAGAUACAGUAGCACUCUUGAUGGUUUAAGGCGGAUUUGGAUAUGGAAAGAUGCUUCGGGAAAAUGGAACCAAUAUUCUGACCAGGUUAACGAUGCAAUUAAUAGGAAUUAUGACAGAAAUCAACAAUCCACAGUUCUGAUAAAAAUGGCGGGUGAAACGUUCAGAGUGGUGAUGUCAAAAAACAAACAGAUCAACGUUCAUUCGAAGGAGAUAAAUGAAGUGUCAUGGAAAUGGAACUGACGGAAUAUUGUGUCAAAGAUAAUUAUUGUUUUGUAUAUUAGUCUUUGACCAGUUAUUGUCAAAGACUGAUAUAUAAAACGAUAACGCUUCAUCAAAAAGGGAAGCUGACGAUUGAAAAGUUUUUGUCAUCAAGAUUAUCAUAAACUUUGGUUGUUAGAUUACAAUUAAUGUCUUCUUCUAGUAAAAGAUUAAAAUAUGAAACAAUUUUUUCAGACUCUGUGAUAUCUUUUAUUUCAAGCUCACUGGGAUAUAUCAUAUCGACAUAAGAAUGGGAAUAACAAUUGUUAUUUGACAAUUAAUACAUCGUCUUUAUAAAAAUUGUAUUCCCCGUGUUUUAUGAUACAAAAUAUGUUGACCUUUCGAAAUGUUUACCUGAUCUAAAAUGGGUAAUUAUAGAUGGAUGACCUCUCGUAAAUUAAAACAGCUGAUAGUGCCAUAUUAACAGAUUAUGUGUAUAUUGAUCUCAAUAUUUAAAAAUGGGCCUUUAAUUGGUCUACAUUUAGAUCUGUGUUAACCGUUUGAUUAUUUGUUUGUUUGCUUAUUGUUGUCUUUGAAAUAAAACAAAUUAUAAAAGUAUUCAUGAAUCGUUCGAUAAUAUACAUGCUUUUUUGUUUCUUUGUUCCUUUCAAGAUUUUUUCACUCAGAUUGAGAGAGCACCAAUAUUGACGACUGGGGAAUGUAGAUUUAGAUAUUUACUCGGCACUUAAAAAGACCUUUGAAACAGAAGAGUAAGUGAUAAGUUAUUUUCAUGAUGUACUCUCAAUUGAGUUAACUUCAAAUGACGUCACCAAACAUCCUCCUAGUGCUCGAGUCUCCAAUAAAACGUAAUAUAUGUUUUUGAAAAUGGAUAGAUAUUGUUGAGGUGACAUUAAACACUCCACAAUAUUACCAGAAAAGUAAUUCAUUUUCAGGUUUUCUUGUAAUGGCAAAUUUAAUCACAAGGAAUAUAUUACUUCAAAAAUAAUUUAAAAAAUACUUUAAAUAUAAUGGCCCAA
Saccostrea cuccullata (small rock oyster) is the source of this 1308-nucleotide long non-coding RNA. RefSeq lists it as uncharacterized. NCBI's taxonomy places the organism in Eukaryota, Metazoa, Mollusca, Bivalvia, Ostreida, Ostreidae. The record is from RefSeq and is a predicted model, not a curated record. The transcript is spliced from 3 exons.